UGCCUAUGGGAGGCAGCAGUGGGGAAUAUUGCACAAUGGGGGAAACCCUGAUGCAGCGACGCCGCGUGGGUGAAGAAGUACUUCGGUACGUAAAGCCCUAUCAGCAGGGAAGAAAAUGACGGUACCUGAUUAAGAAGCCCCGGCUAACUACGUGCCAGCAGCCGCGGGAAUACGAAGGGGGCAAGCGUUAUCCGGAUUUACUGGGUGUAAAGGGAUCGUAGACGGCAUUGCAAGUCCGGCGUGAAAGC
This 248-nucleotide ribosomal RNA is filed under the name uncultured bacterium. RNAcentral's name for it is "partial 16S ribosomal RNA". It matches the Rfam family "Bacterial small subunit ribosomal RNA", at positions 335 to 601 of the family's 1533-position model. The record is from RNAcentral.